CGGAUAUAAAUAACCCUCAUCAACACCAAACCCUAACCCUAACCGCUAGAACUCCUCGCUGGAGAAGAAGACCCAGCUGGUGGGAAGGAGACCGCCCCCACCCACCGCCGCGCCGGAGCCCUUUUCGACUGCCAAAAUAUGUGAAACUUUUCCCUCUUGCACAAAAUUUAAUUUUAAACACACCUAUGGCAAAAUCAAAGCAAAAAGACCGGCUAAUUAGUCGAAAAAUGUGGGCAAAGUCCGAUGAUGCUGCCGCCGAGAAUUCCACAAAACGCCUUUGAUGAGGCCUUUCUUUAUUCCCAUUUUGUAUAAUUUUUUCACCGUUGUGAUCACCAUUUCCUUCUCUACAGGUUAACUGGAGCAAAACAUCCAACCGCAACGUGAGCCGGAGGAGCCACCGCACCGAAGAGCCCCACCGCCAGUGAGUUUCAAUUUGUUUUGUAUUUUUUUCAGCCAACCGAGGCCCCUUAACAUGUUUUCUUGCAGGAAUUGAUGCAAAAUCAGUCAAAAACGGUCGCAAAUAGCAGACCUGAGGCUGACCGCCGUCGCGAGCGGCGGAGCCGCCGUGCCAAAAUUCUGAAAUUGGCCAAAGUGGGCCCUAACACUGAUUUUAGAUUUGUUUAGGACAUUUGUUGGUACUUAUAGCGCGUUUUGAUUCCCA
RNAcentral lists this long non-coding RNA (661 nucleotides) under Carica papaya (papaya). Its description in RNAcentral is "long non-coding RNA (CPAP_LNC009522)". Lineage: Eukaryota; Viridiplantae; Streptophyta; Magnoliopsida; Brassicales; Caricaceae. The record is from RNAcentral.